RNAcentral lists this ribosomal RNA (500 nucleotides) under uncultured bacterium. RNAcentral's name for it is "partial 16S ribosomal RNA". It matches the Rfam family "Bacterial small subunit ribosomal RNA", at positions 30 to 523 of the family's 1533-position model. The record is from RNAcentral.
AUUGAACGCUGGCGGAAUGCUUUACACAUGCAAGUCGAACGGCAGCACGGACUUCGGUCUGGUGGCGAGUGGCGAACGGGUGAGUAAUAUAUCGGAACGUGCCCAGUAGGGGGGGAUAACGGAGCGAAAGCUACGCUAAUACCGCAUACGAUCUACGGAUGAAAGCGGGGGAUCGCAAGACCUCGCGCGCGUGGAGCUGCCGAUAUCGGAUUAGGGAGUUGGUGAGGUAAAGGCCCACCAAGCCGACGAUCUGUAGCUGGUCGUAGAGGACGACCAGCCACACUGGGACUGAGACACGGCCCAGACUCCUACGGGAGGCAGCAGUGGGGAAUUUUGGACAAUGGACGCAAGUCUGAUCCAGCCAUUCCGCGUGCAGGACGAAGGCCUUCGGGUUGUAAACUGCUUUUGUACAGAACGAAAAGGUCUCUAUUAAUACUAGGGGCUCAUGACGGUACUGUAAGAAUAAGCACCGGCUAACUACGUGCCAGCAGCCGCGGUAA